AUACGUAGGGGGCAAGCGUUAUCCGGAUUUACUGGGCGUAAAGGGAGCGUAGACGGUGUGACAAGUCUGAUGUGAAAACCCGGGGCUCAACUCCGGGAUUGCAUUGGAAACUGCCAUACUUGAGUGCAGGAGAGGUAAGCGGAAUUCCUAGUGUAGCGGUGAAAUGCGUAGAUAUUAGGAGGAACACCGGCGGCGAAGGCGGCUUACUGGACUGUAACUGACGUUGAGGCUCGAAAGCGUGGGGAGCAAACAGGAUUAGAUACCCUGGUAGUCCACGCGGUAAACGAUGAAUACUAGGUGUUGGGGGUCUAUAGACCCUCGGUGCCGCAGCAAACGCAAUAAGUAUUCCACCUGGGGAGUACGUUCGCAAGAAUGAAACUCAAAGGAAUUGACGGGG
RNAcentral lists this ribosomal RNA (397 nucleotides) under uncultured bacterium. RNAcentral's name for it is "partial 16S ribosomal RNA". It matches the Rfam family "Bacterial small subunit ribosomal RNA", at positions 523 to 918 of the family's 1533-position model. The record is from RNAcentral.